AGAACGUGUCGAGAAGUUGUUGUC
Molecule: non-coding RNA, 24 nt
Filed under: Arabidopsis thaliana (thale cress)
Lineage: Eukaryota; Viridiplantae; Streptophyta; Magnoliopsida; Brassicales; Brassicaceae
Source: RNAcentral